UUUUAUUAGAAUUGCUCUGAUUACCUGUGGGAUUAAUGUUGUUAAGUUGAGUUUUGUGUAUUGUGAAUUAGAAGAUGUUGUGAUUUGGGGAGCAGGGUGACUCCAGGAGAAUAAGGAUGGGUAAUUUAGAAGAGUAAAUUUCUUUUCUCCAGGUUUUGGGUAGUCCAUUUUAGGGGAAGUUCUGCCAAAUUUUUGGAAGAAUUUUCUUCUAAGGUGGACCCCGCAGGGCCACUUCGGAUUUCAGGGUGAAAUCCGGGGGGCGGGUCCUGUCAUUGCCUAGCUAGGCGAUUGCAUUGGGUAGCAGCACAAGCGAUUCAGGCGGAGGCUGUUAUCUCUUUAAUCCAAAAUAAGAAGAGGAAAGUUCAAGGGCAAGCCCACGGGUCACUGCGACUUCUCCACUCACGAAGAGAUGUUUGGUCCAGUAAAGCAGUGAAGAUAAGUUAUAGGCUUCUGGUAGUGAUUUGGCUUGAAAUCUGGUAGUGAUUUUGAUUCGCAGCAGUCAAUUUGAAGGUAUUGGAGUUCGAUUCGCAGCAGGCCAUUUGAAGGUCAGGAUAAUCGUGGCUGAAGCGGUAGCGGCAUCCUUGCAGCUUUACGGUCUAUUUGAUACUUGACAAAUUUAGUCUUGUUGGAAAGCUUCAAGAAACAAACAAGGGCAUUCCUGAGCAAAAUGGUGGCAAGAGUUGUGGUUAUUGGAACAUGUGUUACUUGAACGAGAUAGUGGAAGACACGAAUUUGGAGUUUACUAUUAAGUGGGAUAGAAGAACAAAUCUUGUUUACACAGAAAAAGAUAUUGAUGAAGUUCGGACUGAAUGAGCAAAGCAUGUUAUGAAGUUUGCACAAGUGUAGUGCGCACAAAGAGUGUCUGUGGUAUAUGCGUAGUUAGGGCUAGCUGUUUUUGUGCAUAUUGACAUUAAAUGCAUAGCUAGAUUAUGGAGGGUUUUUUUGCCUAACUAAUAUGAUCAACUUUUGCCUUUAUUGAUCAUAUUUUGACCUCCUAAUAGAUUACUCAACUUUUAGAUUGAGUGCAUGAGAAUUGUUGUAUCCAAAUAGGUAGGGGAUUGAGAUUUGGCUUAUGUACUCAGUAUAGUCUUUUUUUGACACACCGUUACCCAUAUCCAAAUGAAGCUUCACCGGUCUG
Long non-coding RNA from Rosa chinensis, 1138 nucleotides. RefSeq lists it as uncharacterized. NCBI's taxonomy places the organism in Eukaryota, Viridiplantae, Streptophyta, Magnoliopsida, Rosales, Rosaceae. The transcript is spliced from 6 exons. The record is from RefSeq and is a predicted model, not a curated record.